AUUGCAAGAGCCAGGCACUUGAGGGAAGAAAAUAACAUAUUUUUCCAAAUUCCAAAAGCUUUUCUUUAAAUAUUCAGUACUACAGCUUGGAGGACUGAGUAUAAUUUUUUCCUAUAAAUUAAAAAGUUAGAAGAAUGUAGGAUACGACAAAUUCAAUUUCCUACCACACAGGAAGGCGAUCUCAAACUUUCUCAACGAGGACGUGGAGUUUGUGGGGAGAGGAGAGAGAGAGCAAGAUAAAGCAAAGGAGCCCGGGAGAAGAACAUGUCCAAGCUCUUCUGCUGGAAGAUGAGAAUCACAUGGAGAAGAGUGGAAUUGCCCCAUUCUCCCAGCCAAGCCCAUCAAGACCUGGUGACAGCCAGCCAACCACCACCCCUGUGAGUGAACUCGGAGAAGACCAGAAGAACUUCCCAGCUGAGCCCAGCCCAAACUGGUCAACAU
This 441-nucleotide long non-coding RNA is filed under the name Equus caballus (horse). RNAcentral's name for it is "lncRNA (ENSECAG00000048641.1)". The record is from RNAcentral. Lineage: Eukaryota; Metazoa; Chordata; Mammalia; Perissodactyla; Equidae.